AUGAUUCGCAAUCUUAGAACUAUCAAUCUUAUCAUUAGAGGAUUGCCCAAAAAUUUGAUUGCUAUCUUACCUACUCUUGAUUGUGCCUAUACUAUAUGGAGAUUUCUUGAGGAACGAUUCCCAAAUUAUUCCUCAAAAAAUCUAAACAAAAUUCUCCAUAGGUCUAUAGCCUUGAGUAAGAUGAGUACUAGUGAUCCUAAGUUUGGUGAUUGUCUAUUUGAGCUUACCAAUCUCAUGCGUGCCAAAGGAGAUGUUGGAAUCAUUAGCAAUAUCAUCUCCGAAGCUAUUAGAAUUCAUAAAGGUGACCAUUGUGAUGAUCAGUUAUCUAAUGAAUUACCCUCUCUAGGAAUUGAUCAAAUACAAGACGAUGUUGAACAUGGAUACUAUGAUGAGGAUGAUGAUAGUGACUAUGAUCUUGAUGAUGCGAUGAGACACUUGGUCUUAUGA
Molecule: ribosomal RNA, 447 nt
Filed under: Triticum aestivum (bread wheat)
Lineage: Eukaryota; Viridiplantae; Streptophyta; Magnoliopsida; Poales; Poaceae
Description: partial small subunit ribosomal RNA
Source: RNAcentral